ACAGUGUGAACGUACCUAACGCCACCGCACUGCGCCCUGAAAAACAGCGAGAACGGCAACUUGUAGGUUGUGUGUUCUUUGCCACAAUGAUAAUGAAAAGGUCGUGCUCACUCUGGGCUCUGACGCAAUGAAAACGAAGCCAACAGCGUAGCCGGGAUCGGCUGGUCCGGCGAGGUCCCGCCCCGCCCGGACGGCCACCUGCGCCCCGCUACGGCCUCACCUCCGUGCCAGGCUGCUCGGCCCAGUUCGGGCGCACAGCCCGGGCCGCGCGGGUGGAUCCACGGCCAUCGCCGCGGGAGCCGCGGGCGGCGGAGCGGAGCCGACAGAGCCACCGGCCCCGGGACCAGCCGACCCACCUGGACACCCCGCACCCCGGACCCGGGGGACAACCCCAUGGCCGCGCGGGGCCCCGAAGCCCCCAGCGGGCGCGCGCUGCGGGACGCGGCAGAAAAUCUAUUUCAGGAACUUCAAGAACACUUUCAAGCUCUGACUGCAACGUUAAACCUGAGAAUGGAAGAAAUGGGAGGCCGCAUUGAAGACUUGCAGAAGAAUGUGAACGACUUGAUGGUGCAAGCUGGGAUUGAAAGUUCUGCUCAAGAGCAAAUGGCGAGGCGUUAUUAAGGCACUCAGGCUCCGGACGCGCAGGCUCAGCGGCCAUGGCUCACGGGCCCAGCCGCUCCGCGGCAUGUGGGAUCUUCCCGGACCGGGGCACGAACUCGUGUCCCCUGCAUCGGCAGGCAGACUCUCAACCACUGCGCCACCAGGGAAGCCCUGUUGGACAGCAGACACCAUCAUCCCCUUCACAUGGGAGGAAACGGAGCUCUGGGGGCUACUCGCUCAAGGUCCUCAGUAACGACAGAGCCUGGCUGUGAAACCAGGUAGGGGCUCCAGGGUGUGCCCCCCACAGGCCCCGGGCUGCCUCCACGCCGUAUGCCCCCUCUUUCACCUCAGAGGCUGUGUGCCCUGAGAUGUGCCUGUGAAGAUCCCAACCAACAACACGCUGCUGGGGUAAGAGACUCAGGAGAGAAACUUGAGAUUGUGAUAAGGAAACUAGCUACACGGACUGAAGGGUCAUGGUUGCUAUGGAAAAUACGAUGCAUUUAAGUGCGUUAGAUACAAUCUUAGGAGGCAUGAGAAACACCUCUUACUUUUUAUAUUUAAAGGGAGUCCAAAAAUCAUUGUUGCACUGUUUUUAUAACCAGAAGAAUAAAAGAUGAUUUUUCCCUUUUCCUGAACUCAAGCCUUUGGUUCUGCUGUGGGUCGAACUGUGCCCCCUGAAAGUUCACAUGUUGGGAAUCCUCACCCCAGGACCUCAGAAUGUGCCCUUUCUAGAGACGGGGCUGUUGCAGGUGUAACUAGUCGAGAUGAGGUCAUGCUGGAGCAGGGUGGCCCCCACCCAGUGGGGACACUUGCACACAGACACGCACACGGGGAGAACACCGCGUGAAGACGAAUGCUGGGCCUGGGGUGAGGCAUCACCAGCCAAGGGACCCAAAGAUGCCGGAAACCACCAGGGCCAGCAGGGUUUAGGAACAGACUCCCCGUCAGGCCCUGGAGGACCAGCCCUGCCGACACGUGGAUCUGACCCCAGCCUCCAGAACUGUGUCGCGUCACCAGUCUGAGGUCCCUAAUUACAGGAGACCCAGGAAACUCAGACAGACUCUGACAAGUGUGCAAACCACAGCAGCCCCAUGGGACCCACACCUGAACCUCACUCAACAGUGAAGAGUUAAUUCUUGACUACCAAAAUCACUAAUCUAUACACUACUUUUCAUAAGAAAUGAUUUUGACUGUUCCCAUCACCAUGUAUUUUAUUUCAGCUAGAUAUUUACAGAUAUUUGCUGAUACAAAAAUGCAAGGACCAGGCAGACUGAAAGUUGAGGCAAUGCCAUCCUCACUGCAGAACCCUCCAGCUCCUUGAGCUCUGUGUACUUUCCCAAACGCUUUCUCACAGGCUUUAAAUAGUUGAAAAUGUUUCCGCGUGAGAACGACCCCACGGCACUGCAUGCACCAGGACUGGACGGGGGCUCAGUAUCUGUACUUGGUGGAGUAGUCCUUCGGGGACACGACCAGGCCGCGGCCCUUCCGGGCCCCCCGGUACACCGUCUCGAUGAUGUCAAUCAUCUCCUGCUUGUCUUCCAUGGCCCAGUUGAUCUUGUUGUUGUUGCCAGUACCCAGGUCGAUCAUGAUGUGCUUGUUCCUGUAG
Globicephala melas (long-finned pilot whale) is the source of this 2206-nucleotide RNA transcript. It is a transcript of the gene named heat shock factor binding protein 1 like 1, with no coding region annotated. Lineage: Eukaryota; Metazoa; Chordata; Mammalia; Artiodactyla; Delphinidae. The record is from RefSeq and is a predicted model, not a curated record.